RNAcentral lists this long non-coding RNA (2491 nucleotides) under Homo sapiens (human). RNAcentral's name for it is "HSALNT0385649". The record is from RNAcentral. Lineage: Eukaryota; Metazoa; Chordata; Mammalia; Primates; Hominidae.
UGAAAGCAACGAAAAAUUUUCAAGUGUACACAUCUAUUGUGAUCCUGAUAACUCACAGGAAUGAUACUGCUGAAAAUAGAGACUAGGAAUCAGACAGAUGUCCACUAAAGCCUGAGGUCAUUUUUUUCUGAUGGCUAAAAAGGAUGUUUAACCCCUAAGUCCUUCCUUCUUGAAAUCUUUGGUCUGCUUUAUUUUAAAUGUUUUGUUUUAGUUUUUAAUAUGACAUAAUUUGCAUUAGGCAUCUGUAAGGCUUUUAUCUGCUCAUUGCCUAAAUCUUUCAUCUGUAUGGGGACUGCAUUAAGCUCAUCCUGAAUAAUGGCCUCUAUUAUUUAAAUCCAUUAUUCAAAUUCCAUUUUUCUAAGAAGCUAUCACUCCUAUUCCAUCUGCAAAUAUGAAAACUUAAAUGUAAAGGUCCCUCUUCAAAUUUUCCACAGGAAAAAAACAUGUCAUCCAUUUAAAUGCAUGCUUCAGGCACUGCACAUUCUGUAAGAAGGCGAUUUUAAACAACCUAUUUCUAUUUAAUGUCAAAAUUGAGAUUUUAAAAAAUUUUGCUGAUUACAAAAGUAAUUCAUAUUUACUGUGAAAAAGAAAAUCAAACACUGAAGAAUUUGAAGUAGAAAGUAGCUACCCAAAAUUCUAUCCAAAAUUGCUAUAACCCACAGAAACAUUGUUUUAUCUCUAUAUUUUUCUAAAUGUUGAAAUAUUAAAAUCAUGACUAUUUACACAAAUUGAAUCAUAUGAUUCUGUGGCAGACAAUUUUCCAAAGAUGGUCACAACAAUAUCCCUCAUCCUGCAUGCUUUUCUGCAAGUUCCUUGCCACUCUCCCAUCAAGAAAUGUUAUUUCGCCACCUCCCUGAAUCUCAGCAGGACUUUGGAUUGCUUCAAUCAAUAGAAUAGAGCUGAUACAACGUUAUACUAAUUCUGUGUAUAGCCUUUAACUGGCCUGGCAACUUCCACUUCCUGCUUUUCGGAAGUCAUCCUAAAACCAUGUGUGGACAGAAAGAGUCCAUAAGACCUAAAUGUCCUGGAAGGUGAAGUCAAACCAUUGAGAAAAUUACCUGGAGAGUCUUCCAGAGGCUGAGACUUCACCCUAUUGGUUUUUACGCUUCUCAGAGCCAGGAGCAUCCCAGAUGCAGAGUCCAGAACUGGGAGGAUGUGGUACUGAGGGAGCCCAGAGCGGAUGGAAUAACAAGGAAGGGAUUUGCCUUCCUGCUUGAAGCAUCUAACGAAUCUGACAAAGUAUAUUAAAGAAAGUGUCUCAAGACACUGGACAUCAGGUAAAGAUGAAUAGGGAUCCCUGAGAGAUGGGAUACAAAUUAGACGAGCCCUACCUUUGAGGUGCUCUCCUAGCUAUGGCCUGGAGAGCAUUUCCAGACACAGCACACGGACAGGCAACCCAGGAGGAGCACAAGAGUCUCCCUAAGCUGAACUAGGAUGGGGCAUGGGGGACCCUGGGGCUGAGGCUGCUAGAAUUCACAAGGCAAGAUACUGAAGAGAAGAGAUCUGCAAAGAAAUAGAACUCCAGAGAUCUACAAAAGUUUCAAUACUCUUCAGCGUGUGCAUGUGAGAAAACUAUCAAAAGGAUUAGAGGGAAAAAUCCCUACACGGGGUGGGAAUAGUGCCUGUUCAUACCAUCUGGAGUGGAAAAUCUUCAUAAUUACAGGGAUUGGUAGACUAUUCAAGAGUCUUGCCUCACAGUGGAGAAAAUUUUACCCUAGACUAAAUGUUGCUCUGCUCUCUCCUUACAAAGCUUAAAGGAAGACCCAAUAGGAUAAAAUUGUUUUCAAGUCACUUAACUGCAUCCUAGAAUGAACUCAAGUAUAUUUAUAGGAAUACAAUAAUGUACAGCCCUCAACAAGAGAAAUUUCACGAAGCUUGGCACACAUUCAAGAAUAACGAGGCAUGCAAAGAAGUAGGACAAAUGCAACCAUAAUACAGAGAAAAGCCAAUCAAACAGACCCAGUAAUGACACUGAUGAUGGAGUUAGUAGACAAGGCCAUUAAAACAGUCAUUAUAACUGCGUUCCAUAUGUUUGAGAAACUUGAACGUGAUAAGUAGAGACAUGGAAGAUAAUUUUGUUGCCUGGGCUUACCCUUCAGACUCUGCUUCUUGAACAGUGUCAGUGGCUGUAAUCUCAGUUCAGAUCUUUCAUCUUUAACUGAGCUGCUUUGAGUCUUCUGCAUAGGUGUGGUUUGAGAGUCGGUCAGACUGGGUACACAGAAUGGCCCCCACCACCGCAAUUCUCUUCAGUGUUCAUAGUAGUCCAGCUUCAAUUUUCUGGUUCCCCAGGCCAGAAAGAAGGGAUGCUUGUUUGUCCACAUGCACCCCAACAGCUGCUGUGUGCACUAUAUGGAGCCACAGAGAUGGGACCUUUCCUGGGCAACUUCUCAUCUCCCCUGUCCAAGUACACUGGAACCAACUGGAAGAGCACUAAAUUGUCAAAGCUGGAACAUUUUGAGCAACAAAAUAAAUAAAGUAGUAUAGAGUGAUA